AUGAAGGAGAGGAGAGGAGAGGAGAGGAGGGGAGGGGGAGAGGAGAGGAGAGGAGGGGGAGAGGAGAGGAGAGAAGAGGAGAGGAGAGGAGAGGAGAGGAGAGGAGAGGAGAGGAGAGGAGAGGAGAGGAGAGGAGAGGAGAGGAGAGGAGAGGAGAGGAGAGGAGGGCAAAUGUUUAAUUCAGAUGAAGGAAAUGAAAAUGUCUGUGGUGGUUCUUGUGAAAAGGCCCCGAGGUCUGAUCACCAUACAGUCCCAUGGAAUAGACCUACAGGAGGUGAGUCAUGGAAUAAACCUACAGGAGGUGAGUCAUGGAAUAGACCUACAGGAGGUGAGUCAUGGAAUAGACCUACAGGAGGUGAGUCAUGGAAUAGACCUACAGGAGGUGAGUCAUGGAAUAGACCUACAGGAGGUGAGUCAUGGAAUAGACCUACAGGAGGUGAGUCAUGGAAUAGACCUACAGGAGGUGAGUCAUGGAAUAGACCUACAGGAGGUGAGUCAUGGAAUAGACCUACAGGAGGUGAGUCAUGGAAUAGACCUACAGGAGGUGAGUUAUGGAAUAGACCUACAGGAGGUGAGUCAUGGAAUAGACCUACAGGAGGUGAGUCAUGGAAUAGACCCACAGGAGGUGAGUCAUGGAAUAGACCUACAGGAGGUGAGUCAUGGAAUAGACCUACAGGAGGUGAGUCAUGGAAUAGACCUACAGGAGGUGAGUCAUGGAAUAGACCUACAGGAGUUGAGUCAUGGAAUAGACCUACAGGAGUUGAGUCAUGGAAUAGACCUACAGGAGGUGAGUCAUGGAAUAGGCCUAUAGGUGAGUCAGUCCCAUGGAAUAGACCUAUAGGUGAGUCAGUCCCAUGGAAUAGACCUAUAGGAGGUGAGUCAUGGAAUAGACCUAUAGGUGAGUCAGUCCCAUGGAAUAGACCUAUAGGUGAGUCAUGGAAUAGACCUAUAGGUGAGUCAGUCCCAUGGAAUAGACCUAUAGGUGAGUCAGUCAAAUGGAAUAGACCUAUAGGUGAGUCAGUCCCAUGGAAUAGACCUAUAGGUGAGUCAUUCCCAUGGAAUAGGCCUAUAGGUGAGUCAGUCCCAUGGAAUAGGCCUAUAGGAGGUGAGUGA
RNAcentral lists this long non-coding RNA (1113 nucleotides) under Oncorhynchus mykiss (rainbow trout). RNAcentral describes it as "lncRNA (ENSOMYG00000054015.1)". The record is from RNAcentral. Lineage: Eukaryota; Metazoa; Chordata; Actinopteri; Salmoniformes; Salmonidae.